Molecule: ribosomal RNA, 166 nt
Filed under: uncultured bacterium
Lineage: Bacteria
Description: partial 16S rRNA
Rfam family: Bacterial small subunit ribosomal RNA
Source: RNAcentral
UAGGGAAUCUUCGGCAAUGGACGAAAGUCUGACCGAGCAACGCCGCGUGAGUGAAGAAGGUUUUCGAAUCGUAAAACUCUGUUGGUAGAGAAGAACGUUGGUGAGAGUGGAAAGCUUCAUCAAGUGACGGUAACUACCCAGAAAGGGACGGCUAACUACGUGCCAC